Molecule: ribosomal RNA, 468 nt
Filed under: uncultured bacterium
Lineage: Bacteria
Description: partial 16S ribosomal RNA
Rfam family: Bacterial small subunit ribosomal RNA
Source: RNAcentral
GACGAACGCUGGCGGCGUGCUUAACACAUGCAAGUCGAACGGAAAGGCCCUGCUUUUGUGGGGUGCUCGAGUGGCGAACGGGUGAGUAACACGUGAGUAACCUGCCCUUGACUUUGGGAUAACUUCAGGAAACUGGGGCUAAUACCGGAUAGGAGCUCCUGCUGCAUGGUGGGGGUUGGAAAGUUUCGGCGGUUGGGGAUGGACUCGCGGCUUAUCAGCUUGUUGGUGGGGUAGUGGCUUACCAAGGCUUUGACGGGUAGCCGGCCUGAGAGGGUGACCGGCCACAUUGGGACUGAGAUACGGCCCAGACUCCUACGGGAGGCAGCGGUGGGAAAUAUUGCACAGUGGGCGGAAGCCUGAUGCAGCAGCGCCGCGUGCGGGAUGACGGCCUUCGGGUUGUAAACCGCUUUCGCCUGUGACGAAGCGUGAGUGACGGUAAUGGAUAAAGAAGCACCGGCUAACUACGUG